This 230-nucleotide ribosomal RNA is filed under the name uncultured bacterium. Its description in RNAcentral is "partial 16S ribosomal RNA". It matches the Rfam family "Bacterial small subunit ribosomal RNA", at positions 564 to 791 of the family's 1533-position model. The record is from RNAcentral.
AGCGUGCGCAGGCGGUUAUGUAAGACAGAUGUGAAAUCCCGGGCCUCAACCUGGGAACUGCAUUUGUGACUGCAUGGCUAGAGUACGGUAGAGGGGGAGUGGAAUUCCGCGUGUAGCAGUGAAAUGCGUAGAUAUGCGGAGGAACACCGAUGGCGAAGGCAAUCCCCUCGGACCUGUACUGACGCUCAUGCACGAAAGCGUGGGGAGCAAACAGGAUUAGAUACCCCAGU